ACAGCAGUAGCCGCGGGAAUACAGAGGGUGCGAGCGUUAAUCGGAUUUACUGGGCGUAAAGCGUGCGUAGGCGGCUUCUUAAGUCGGAUGUGAAAUCCCUGAGCUUAACUUAGGAAUUGCAUUCGAUACUGGGAAGCUAGAGUAUGGGAGAGGAUGGUAGAAUUCCAGGUGUAGCGGAGAAAUGCGUAGAGAUCUGGAGGAAUACCGAUGGCGAAGGCAGCCAUCUGGCCUAAUACUGACGCUGAGGUAGGAAAGCAUGGGGAGCAAACAGGAUUAGAUACCCCUGUAGUCCCUGUCUCUUAUAC
Molecule: ribosomal RNA, 305 nt
Filed under: uncultured bacterium
Lineage: Bacteria
Description: partial 16S ribosomal RNA
Rfam family: Bacterial small subunit ribosomal RNA
Source: RNAcentral